CCUACGGGGGGCAGCAGUGGGGAAUAUUGGACAAUGGGGGCAACCCUGAUCCAGCCAUGCCGCGUGUGUGAAGAAGGCCCUCGGGUUGUAAAGCACUUUCAGUGAGGAAGAACGCCUGGUGGUUAAUACCCAUCAGGAAAGACAUCACUCACAGAAGAAGCACCGGCUAACUCCGUGCCAGCAGCCGCGGUAAUACGGAGGGUGCGAGCGUUAAUCGGAAUUACUGGGCGUAAAGCGCGCGUAGGUGGCUUGAUAAGCCGGUUGUGAAAGCCCCGGGCUCAACCUGGGAGCGGCAUCCGGAACUGUCAAGCUAGAGUGCAGGAGAGGAAGGUAGAAUUCCCGGUGUAGCGGUGAAAUGCGUAGAGAUCGGGAGGAAUACCAGUGGCGAAGGCGGCCUUCUGGACUGACACUGACACUGAGGUGCGAAAGCGUGGGUAGCAAACAGGAUUAGAUACCCUAGUAGUC
RNAcentral lists this ribosomal RNA (465 nucleotides) under Vreelandella stevensii. RNAcentral's name for it is "partial 16S ribosomal RNA". It matches the Rfam family "Bacterial small subunit ribosomal RNA", at positions 338 to 795 of the family's 1533-position model. Lineage: Bacteria; Pseudomonadati; Pseudomonadota; Gammaproteobacteria; Oceanospirillales; Halomonadaceae. The record is from RNAcentral.